GACGUCGAUAUUCGACGUCAUCAACACGGUCAACUUUGGUGUUUAUGGCGUUGAUAUUCGACGUCAUAAACACGAUCAACUUUGAUGUUUAUGACGUUGAUAUUCGACGUCAUAAACACGAUCAACUUAGAUGUUUAUGACGUUGAUAUUCGAUGUCAUAAACACGAUGAACUUAGAUGUUUAUGACGUUGAUAUUCGGCGUCAUAAAUACGAUCAACUUAGAUGUUUAUGACGUUGAUAUUCGACGUC
This is a non-coding RNA of Paramuricea clavata, 249 nucleotides long. NCBI's taxonomy places the organism in Eukaryota, Metazoa, Cnidaria, Anthozoa, Malacalcyonacea, Plexauridae. The record is from the annotation of a GenBank genome assembly.